Molecule: long non-coding RNA, 2184 nt
Filed under: Pan paniscus (pygmy chimpanzee)
Lineage: Eukaryota; Metazoa; Chordata; Mammalia; Primates; Hominidae
Description: lncRNA (ENSPPAG00000044641.1)
Source: RNAcentral
CUGCUCGGUGGCCUCCUCUGCGUCUGGCUGUCUCCCCCCACUUGCGUCUCUCUCCCCCCUUUGUUCUCGCCUCCGAGCGCUCCCCGCAGCCUCCCCUCCCCCCCUGGUAUUUAAAUCGCCUGCAGGCCCGGAGCCCUCCCCCCGCGGGCCUCCGGGGACACGCAGUGUCCAUCCCAGUGGAGGGGCCCAUCGGGGGAGGGGCGGAGGGGGAGGGUCUCCUUUGUCUGCGCGGCGGCGGCCGCCUGCGCCGGGGAGGGAGGAGGAGGGGGAGCCCGGCCCGGCGCAACCCCCAGGGCCUCUCCUCGGGCCGAAGCCCGUGGUUGCUACAAAGAGGAGCCAGGACUAGAAUUAGGGAAUUGGAGGCAGGGGCUGCCCUGGGGGCGCGGGGGAAGGUGGCAUAGAGCACACUGGAGCCCAGAGGAGGAGAAAGUGCCUGGUUGGGGUGCAGAGAGGGUGCCAGAGUCCAGGGCGGGGGUUCACUGGAGGGAAGGGGUCCGAAUCGCCAGAAUGGGGCUCCCAGCACCAGACGGAGACCUCUCUGCACGCGCUUAGGGCCCUGGAUCUGGAAGCCGGGAAGGGGUGGGGGUGGGAACUUAUCCGUCUCUCCCCACACAAGCACAGCCCUCCCCCGCGGCCUCUGCUUCCGCGUCCCUGUGUCGUCUCCACGGAGUCUCAUGCUCUUCCUUCCUCCCCCCAGCCGGCUCAGUUCGGGGAAGCUGCAGGAGUUCGGCGUGGGUGAUGGCAGCAAGCUGACCUUGGUACCCACCGUGGAAGCGGGCCUCAUGUCUCAGGCCUCAAGGCCGGAACAGUCCGUGAUGCAAGCCCUCGAGAGUCUCACGGAGACGCAGGUAAGACCUCGCCAGCCCCUUCCUAACAGGGCAGCCCUGGAGGCAGGGUGCCUUGGCCACCGACGGGGCCUGGGGGUUGUCUGUGCUCCCAGGAGGCUGGGGGAGGGGAGGGGACGCGCCACCCCGCCUGGGUGCCAGCCUGGCCUGGCCUCCCCACCUCCUCUCCCCCAAGAUUCACCACCUGACCCGGAGGGCUUUCUCUCCCACGGUGGCUGCCCUGGGGGAAGGGGGCCUGGCUUUCACAAGACUGCCUGCAGGAUGACCUUGGCCUGUGGGGCCUCAUCCCUGCUCACACCCCCGCCUGCAUCCCCAGCCCCCUCCGCCCCCACCGAGGAGCCCCCUUCCAGCCGCUGUGGCUUCCCCAGAGCGAGUUUCUCCUUUUUUACAUUUCUGCUGGGGGCUGGGGGCGGCGGCCUGGGUGACACUCCUUCCGCCUUCCGUGACCCCCAUCGUGAGAGGGUGGGGAUCUCGUCGCCCUCCCCUCCUCUCUCUGGCCUUUGUUCUCUACCCCGAAAGGGGUGGGGGCGGGGGUGCCCAGCUCUGGGGCCAGCGAGGCCUAGACAGGAUGUUAGGAAAAUAUUUAGUAAGCGGCCAGGAGGGAGGCUGGGGCUGGCCCUCACCCGCUUCCCGGUUUUGCUGCAGACUUUUUUUUUUUCUCCUUCUUUCCUCAUUUUCUUGGCUGCGGCCAAGCCUUCCUCAGACAAGGGCCCUGGCCACCUCCCAGGAGGGUGACACAGGCCUCAGCAAUCCGCCCGCUGCCAGGGUGGGGGACGCAGGCUGCCACCCGCCCCAGCAAGGGGUGGCCGGCUUCCCGGGCCUCCCUGGCCCCGAGGCCCGCACCCCCUUCCGCUUUCCCAGCGGCAUGUAGAGUCCUGCCCUUUCCCUACAUUGCGGGGGCAGGGCGGGGGCCGGGAGCUGGGUGGUCUGCCAUGGGGGUGGCCACAGCAGCAGCAGCAGUGGCGUGGGGGCAGAGCCGGGGUCCCGAGCCAGGGCGGGGGCUGCAGGUGAUUUCCUGGGGCGAGUGUGAGCAGAGCUCCCCGCCGCUGGGGGGCUGCGGUUGGCAGGGGGCCCAGGGCGUGUUGGCUUCACACCCUCCUCCCUGGGCGCCUGCGUCAGGAAGGAGCUGGGUUGGUAGGGGGCUGGGGGGGGUGUGCUGGGCGGAGACACUGGGCUCCCCAGGGUUGCUUCCCUGCCUGGCACCGAGUCACGCCCGCCCAUUAGCCCUCCCCAGGGAGGAAGUUGCAGGGCGGGUGGUGGUGGGGACUCCAGCUGCUCUCGGGAAGCCACCCCGGGCCCUUCCUGCAAAGGCUGUCUUGGGGCAGGGGGGUAGGGGGCC